Molecule: long non-coding RNA, 712 nt
Organism: Lathyrus oleraceus (garden pea)
Lineage: Eukaryota; Viridiplantae; Streptophyta; Magnoliopsida; Fabales; Fabaceae
Exons: 5
Source: RefSeq, a predicted model, not a curated record
GACCGGUGGAGGAGGUGAAGAGUAGACAUAGUGUGGUGGGGGUGGUGAGUAAAUAGGUGGAGGAGGAGAUUUAUAUUUGUAAACUGGUGGUGGUGAAUAAAUCGGUGGAGGAGGAGAUUUAUAUUUGUAAAUUGGUGGUGAAUAGACAGGUGGAGGAGGAGACUUAUAUUUGUAAACGGGUGGUGGUGAAUAAACCGGUGGAGGAGGAGACUUAUAUUUGUAAACGGGUGGUGGUGAAUAAACCGGUGGAGGAGGAGAUUUAUAUUUGUAAAUUGGUGGUGAAUAGACAGGUGGAGGAGGAGACUUAUAUUUAUAAAUUGGUGUUGGAGGAGGAGAUAUAUAUUUGUAAGGAGGAGGAGGUGAGUUGUACUUGUAAACAGGUGGUGGUGGUGAUGGAUAUUUGUAUGGAGGAGGCGGUGGAGAUGGAUACUUAUAUGGUGGAGGAGGUGAAUUGUAUACCGGUGGAGGUGGUGACUUGUACUUGUAAACUGGUGGUGGAGGAGAAGGAUAUUUGUAUGGCUUCUCUGACGGUGGUGGUGGUGAACUGUAAUGAUAAGGUGGAGGAGGUGAGUGCACCGGUGGUGGUGGAGAUGAAUAGAUGUAGUUGUUUGCUUGAGAUGGCAAAGUGAGAGAAAGUAAUGUGAAUGCAAUAGUGAGAGUAAUAGAGGCCAUUUGAGACCCCAUGUUUUCUCAAAGUAGAUUUUGUUGUUGC